UACGAAGGGUGCUAGCGUUGCUCGGAAUUACUGGGCGUAAAGCGCACGUAGGCGGCUUGUUAAGUCAGGUGUGAAAUCCUGGAGCUCAACUCCAAAACUGCCUUUGAUACUGGCGAGCUUGAGUUCGGGAGAGGUGAGUGGAACUGCGAGUGUAGAGGUGAAAUUCGUAGAUAUCGGGAGGAACACCGGUGGCGAAGGCGGCGACCUGGGUAGAUACUGACGCUGAGGCGCGAAAGCGUGGGGAGCAAACAGG
This 253-nucleotide ribosomal RNA is filed under the name uncultured bacterium. RNAcentral's name for it is "partial 16S ribosomal RNA". It matches the Rfam family "Bacterial small subunit ribosomal RNA", at positions 524 to 776 of the family's 1533-position model. The record is from RNAcentral.